UCAUAGGCACAGGAUGUUACCCUCCCACCAUAUACCUACACAUAAAUAAAAAUAACAAUUUAAAGGACAAAUUAAUAUAUAUUAUUUUAAUAAUCUAGUUCAAAUAUGAAGGCAAUUGAAAGUAAAUGGUGAAGAAAAGUCUACUAUGACAUCAGCAAAGAGAGGUAGGUAGGAAUGGCUGUGAUAAGACAGAACAGACCUGAAAUAAGGACAGUUACCAGGAUAAAUAUCAGAAUGCAUAAUAGUCAACAUGUCUGGGACAAAAAUUAGGUAUCAAACUAUGUAAGUCAAAGACUGGAAGCAGUCACAUACGUCUACUAGAAAUAGAUCCAGCAGGGAGAGUCAUUAAAGGAAAAGGCAAACUAAAAAUACACCAUCAUGAACAAACUUGAAUGUUUAUUUGUUAAGAUCAUUUUUCUGGUUAUAUGUCUCCUUUCUAGAGGAAAAGAAAAAAUGGGUAGGUGAUAAAAUCAUUUCCAAGAAGAAAAGGAGAAAGAAGCUGCUGACAUAGAAAAAUGAACAUGUUGUAUAAAACAUGUGGGAUAAAAUAGCAGAAUCUUCUAGAGUGACCACUACCCUGGGGCUGACUAGAACACCUGCUUUGGAGAAUGAAGGGAAGAAUGCUUCUGACUGACUGCUGAAGAACACUGGUCCAAUCUAGUCUUCCUCUUUAGUGGUGACUGCCUGUUGAAACUCCACCCACUUUUAUUCCAAGUUACCACCCAGACCCAGACCCAAGACUUCGAGUUGGCCCACCUCAAAAUCUACAUCAUCUGUGAACUCCUGGAAUUCGUGGAAGGCUUGGCCCUCCUGAUUCAAAGCUGCAGGAUCUCCAUAAUACAAGGCAACAACACGAUAACCAGGAGGAAUCCCUGUGAAGAACCAAUAUUGAUGGUGUAGAAGAAGCCAGAGGUCUUGAACUAGACCAUUGACUUAUUGCAAAGAACAUUUUCAAAUAAAUGUGUUUGGGGAGAGGGGUAUAUUGUGGAACACACUGUGAUACACUAUGGCUUCCAUGAUGAGAUAUUUUCUAUGUUCUGUUGUAUUUUGUUUAUUUUUCAUUUUCUUUUGGGAGGGUUGCAAGAACAGAGGGUUGAUAUGAAGGGACAAAGAGAUGAGUAGGGCUGGGUUAUAUGAUGUGAAACAAUCAAUAAAAUGUUGAAAAAAACCCAUGUAGCAUUUAGAUUUCAGCAUUUCAACAAUUCAAUCAAAAAUAACUUUCUAGUGUCAUUUAAGUGAUUGGCUAUCUCCAAACAGUAGACUUCUUUCCCCCUGGCUGUUAUGUAUCUUGAGUAAAUUAUUAUUGAUUUCUGAAUGUGCAAAUUAGAAUUGGAGAAACUCCAUAGUGUUUUUCUAUUAUAAUUUGAUAAAUUGAGCCAACUACAUGGUCAGUGAAAGAUAGGACAUUAAAAUUACUUUGUUAAAUGGCCUAUAUAUCAAAUCUAAAUGUAGUAUGAACUUGGUUUCACUCUUCAGGCUACCUAUGAGUAAAGACUAAGACAGUGAUACACAAUAGAUCUUGGCUAGUCAUAGCCUAGGUGUAUCCGCCCAUGAAUAGUAAUUAAAAUUUUAUUGGAAUGCACUACUAUUUGAACAAUUAUUGUCUCUGGUUGUUUUGUAUACAGUGGCAGAAUUGAGUGGCUCUGGCAGAUGACAUAUAAAAUAUAGGAAACCUACUAUUUGGAUUUCAGAUAAGCAAUAUACAUAAGACAUCUUUAUAUUAAAAAUUAUUCAAUAUUUAUUUGUAGUCAGUGAGGCCAUAACUUCUAUCCUCGACUGGGACAACCUAGCAUACAAAGCCCAAGAUAGUUAUUACUUGGCUUUUGCUAACUUAAUAUGAAGGAAAAAAUAUGAAGUAUGAAAAAUGUUUCUGAGUUUUAGGUAUACUUUAUGCAGUAAUUUGAUGUACAAUCCUGAACCAGACCAUGAUUCAUAUCUGUAAGAUAAUCUGGUAAUAGUCACCUGCUUCCCAGGGUUGUAUGAAGACAUCUGACAUAUUAAGGGAACACACAUGGAGAAAGGUACAGACAGAAGGGAAAGGGGUUUGGUCUACUUCUCAUAUCAUGCAAUGGAUUAUUAAUGCAAUCCCUAGUCUUUAUAUUCUGUGUGCAGGGCAAGAAGAAAUAGCAACACCACAUGGAGUACAAGUAGAAGGGAGAAGUAUCAUAUCCAGAUGUUACCCACAAAAUUUAACAGACUAAAUAGAAAUUAGAUGAAACACCAGGAAUAUAGCUUUUUAUUUUCUUGCAACAAAUUCAUCCUAGGCAAUAUUUUUCUAUAGAUAAGGAAGAUGCUAAUGUUUUUUCUUGCCUCGAAAACAAAAGUCACUCUUUGGGGAUCAUUCCAUCUUGACAGCUCUAACUUUAGUGAGAAGCAAGGCUGUAUUCUAGAGCAUUGCCAUGUAGGAAUCGCCUUUUGUUUGGAAGUUGAGGGAGCAGCUUGAACAAAAGGAAAGAGGAAGAAGAUGGUGCCUGUUUAUUCUCCCUUUAAACAAGUUUUCCAAACUACCUGACAUCCUGCUAUAAAACACUUGAGGAGGUAUUUGCCAGUCUACCACUACAGGAUGCAUCUGGAAUUGUGACUGAGUGUCACUGUCAAAAUCUGCUCUAAUUGGAACAUUAUCCUGAGCAGAAUGGAGACUAUCUUAUGUCCUUCCAUGAUACUUCAGAUGUCGGUGUACUAAGGCCCGAGAAUUUAUUGUUCAUUUGUUUCCUCAGUGGGUGGUGAUUACCUCGAUAUGAAAUAUUUUUAAUCGUCUCAGUAUUCUCAGCAUGUGGUCCUGUGCUUGUAGGCUCCAGAUAAAUGGUGAUCAAAUGACCUAAAUAAACACGAACCUAACAGAACUACUUCUUGUCCGCAGAUUCUGUUCUGCUUCACUUCGGCUCACUUCUUUUUUCCUUAAAAUAAUUUUGCAGAGGCUGGAUUGUAACUUGUUAUAGGAUAUUUACUUGGGAUUAUAAUUCGGCUUUUAUUCCUUAUAACUCUUUCCUCUCUCUUCUUUGUUUAUCUGGUAUACUGACAUGGAUUUUUUUCAUUAGUUAAUCAAAUGUGAACAGUUCCAGCUUGGUGAAUUCUAAGUGCUGUCUUCAAAUUCUAGUUCAGGCUAUGUCUACCUGAGGGUUUCACUUAUAAAUUAGACCAAACAGGUGGCUGGACAGGGACAGACAGUAGGAUUAUUAGUGCUAGCUCUCAUUGAACUGCCUAGGUCAACUUGUGCAGUCAUUUAAACUCAGCGGAAGCCAGCUUCCUCGAGAUAACAGGAAACAGGGGUUUUAUCAAUACCUUAUAAAUUGUGUGUAGUGUAGCUCUGUGAAAUUUGGAACCUCACUCAGAGGCUCCCCAAGUAUUUAAUUUUGACUGUGCAAUGCUCAUCCAAGAAUUGUGAGAAUGUUAAAGAAUAUUGGUGAAAAAUACUUUAGAUUUCUCCUAAAUAGCAGAGAAACAGAGGCUGUACUUAGAAGGAAAUGUAUUUGAGGUUUGCUAUCACAGCUCCACUGGUGAUGAACCAGAACACACUCUUGCAAGUACUUUGGAGGCCAAUACAAAUCAUGUAGCUGGUUCUUCUGGGAAUGAUUCGUGUGAUUGCUUAGGCUAAUUUUUAAGGGAACUCUGUGUCAGCAUCCUCUAAGAUGGUCAUUGCCUUGCUAAGCUUCCUUAUCUGCAUUAAGCUGCUUCGGUCAUGCUGGGACACUCUGCUACUCAUUACAACUUCUAAAGCACAGGUACUAAGGCCAAAAUACACUAGAAUGAGAACAUAAGAUCCACUUGGCCCAGGACACGUUUCCAGAGCAGGGGCCUAAAGCUACCCUUUCUUAAACUCAAGAUGGGUGGUCUGACCUGACCACCACAGACUUGGCACCACAGAAUUCAAAAGUAGUGACAUCCUGGAGUGAUUACUGGGAAUAUGAUACUAUGUUUUGUUUUCAGAUGUGUUAAAAUGUAAUGUUUGUUUUUAUGGACAAUUUGUUUGAACCUGUUUCCUGAUUUUGUAUUUUGUAUGGAAUAGAAAACUUUAUACUCUAGACAGACUUUAAUAUUUCCCAGCAUAGCUCUGUCCAAUUGCAUAUCUGGCCCUUAAUAUGAGGCCAACCACCCACACACGAAAUGCAUGACUUCAGGAAGUCCAGUCGCAGAGCCAUUUUCCUGCUCAUGGGCUUAUAGUCCUGCCUUUCUUUCAUGGCUACUACUAUGAGGCUUGUGCAGUAUCAUUUUAAGUGUUUGACUUUCUCAUUGAAAUUUGAAAAUAUCUGUCUGGCUUUAAUAUUACUUUAAAUUGGAGUCUCUGAAAUUUCCUCAUUGAAACAUAGACCUGAAGCCAGGUCUAAAGCAUGGAAACUGCAUUGAUGUAGAUGAUGUAGGGGCUGAUGCAGAGUGAGAACGGCUUCUGAGAAACUUUGAGAAAAAAGUUAAGUAUGGUAUGAGCUUGGGAAAUCUGAAAGUCAUCUUAUUGACAUCUUUAAUGUGAAAGACAUAGCUUAACCAUUCAAAUAAAGCUGUUGCUUUCUACCA
Rattus norvegicus (Norway rat) is the source of this 4509-nucleotide long non-coding RNA. RefSeq lists it as uncharacterized. NCBI's taxonomy places the organism in Eukaryota, Metazoa, Chordata, Mammalia, Rodentia, Muridae. The record is from RefSeq and is a predicted model, not a curated record.